RNAcentral lists this ribosomal RNA (230 nucleotides) under uncultured bacterium. Its description in RNAcentral is "partial 16S ribosomal RNA". It matches the Rfam family "Bacterial small subunit ribosomal RNA", at positions 57 to 305 of the family's 1533-position model. The record is from RNAcentral.
GCAAGUCGAACGAGAAGCAUUCUUCGGAAUGUGGACAGUGGCAGACGGGUGAGUAACGCGUGGCAACCUACCUUUCAGUAAGGAACAACAGUUGGAAACGACUGCUAAUACCUUAUACGUCCUCCGGGAGAAAGAUUUAUCGCUGAUAGAUGGGGCCGCGUUAGAUUAGCUAGUUGGUAAGGUAAUGGCUUACCAAGGCGACGAUCUAUAGCGGGUCUGAGAGGAUGAUC